Molecule: non-coding RNA, 113 nt
Organism: Paramuricea clavata
Lineage: Eukaryota; Metazoa; Cnidaria; Anthozoa; Malacalcyonacea; Plexauridae
Source: the annotation of a GenBank genome assembly
GUAUAUAUAGGUAAUCGGGUGUGCGGGUUGUGAUAAGGUGGACUUAAAGUGAAGUGCAAGAAACCAAAUCAUUUAAGUCCACCUUAUCACAACCCGCACACCCGAUUACCUAC